CUGGGGUUGUCGAACUGAGAUUUAGCAAGGAGGGUUAAGUCGUAACAAGGUAUCUGUAGGGGAACCUGCAGAUGGAUCACCUCCU
RNAcentral lists this ribosomal RNA (85 nucleotides) under Candidatus Methanomethylophilaceae archaeon. Its description in RNAcentral is "partial 16S ribosomal RNA". It matches the Rfam family "Archaeal small subunit ribosomal RNA", at positions 1394 to 1478 of the family's 1478-position model. The record is from RNAcentral. Lineage: Archaea; Methanobacteriati; Thermoplasmatota; Thermoplasmata; Methanomassiliicoccales; Methanomethylophilaceae.